RNAcentral lists this long non-coding RNA (642 nucleotides) under Ananas comosus (pineapple). Its description in RNAcentral is "long non-coding RNA (ACOM_LNC016006)". The record is from RNAcentral. Lineage: Eukaryota; Viridiplantae; Streptophyta; Magnoliopsida; Poales; Bromeliaceae.
CAAGAAUUAACAAAGAAUAUGCUUAUGUACUUACAACAUCAAAUUAAACAUAUUUUUUUACGAAUUAUUUCUCAAACUCACUACAACAGAAUUAAGUUAUAGGAGUACAUGUUUGGAACACUUUUGUAUAAGUGUCACAUUUAUGUCAAAACUUUUAAAAAAAUUUACUAAUACGUAAAUAUAAAGCCGAAUACAACCAAAAAUAAAAGAUUACUCUACUCAAUUCACCCCACCCAGCCCAUUCAGUCCAAUUACAAACAGAAAAGAAAAGAAAAAAAAAUUGAUUAAUAUCUUCCCUUCUUCCCUCACUCAAUCUACUGAAAUCCUAAACGAAGAGUCCUUCCCUAUCCUACUCCUAUGCCACCGCAACCAACGAGGUAGAGUUUUGGCGGUUGCUAAAUACUUAAAUAAGUGUUGGUAAAUUAGUAGCACUCUUUUUAGAUUAUAGCGACACUCUUUAACUGUCACUAUAUACCUAGCGACCCCACAUAUAGCAACAUUUUUUAAAAGUGUCGGUAAUUUAGCCAGCAGUAUUUUUUUUGACCUGUACUGAUAUUUAAAAGUGUUGCUAUAUACCGUUUUUGUUGUGGUAACUAUGCAGGAAAGUUAAACAUGAGAGAUUAAUAUAUGAAACACUAAUAU